UUUUUUUGUAAUUCCUUUAUCUUUACUUAAAGGUGAAUGUGUAUUCCUCUGGGAGGAAUAGGAAGAAAACAGGAAUGUUAAUAAUGUCAAACAGAAGACUUCCUCCCUUAUUAAUAUAUAACCCUCAUGUAUUUAUGCCUAAUGUAAGCUGACUUUUAAAGAAUUUUCUUUGGUUGCAUGCCCUGUGCAGGCAUCCCUAUUGUACAUGCAUGCCUCUCGUCCUGUUUUCCUGUAUAAAGUUAGUGAACAAAGAACUAUUUUUGCCUAGUUCAUGUUGCCAAGCAAUGCAUAUUUUUUAAAUUUGUCAUAUAUGGAAAUAGCAUGUUUGUUACAUGUAAAGCUUUACUGAUAUACAGAUAUACUAAUGUUUGAAGAUGCUGUUCUUUGCAAGUGUACAGUUUUCAAAUGUUGUUACCAGUGAAACACCCUUGUGGUUUAAACUUGCUACAAUGUAUUUAUUACUCAUUUCCUCCCAUGUAACUAAGAAUCAUGGCUAUAUUUCAUAUCAACGUUAUAUUGAAAGUGAAGGGAAAUGAUUAAUACAAGGUUUUGUAACACUGGUGUGUGUGUCUUUUUUUUUUCCUUUUUGUUGACAGGAUUGAUUAGGAAGCAAGAACUGAAUCUUAGAAAUAAGCCAGCAAGGAACAGUGAACAUGACAUCGCUGUAAACUAUUACCACCUGACCAUUCUAUGCAAACUAUGUCUUCAAAUAGGAGUUCCUUUUUUUUAAACAAAAGAAUAGGAUGAGGUAUAAAAAUUUAUGCAGCUUGUUAUGUGCCCAGAGUAGUUAAUAAAUGCAUCAUCUGACUUGAAGGCAUGUUCCUAAAUACAAACUCUAUCCUUGCAGAUGAUAUUGUUUAUAGCUUGCUGUCCAUCCUCAGUGCCGUUGAAAUCAUAUUUCACCCCGUAACCAUGGCAUAAAGAAACAGCAGCCUCCAUGGAGCCUUGGGGUCUUAACUACAUAUGGCUUGAAUCUCAUUGUAAUACUUCUAAUUCCAGUAUGAUAUUUGAUAUAAACUCUAAAUAAUGUCAAUUAAGCAUAUGGUUGAAGAGACUAAAGUGGUUUUGAAAUCUCUGGCUGUGUGAUAUGCAACAAGUUAACCUCUCUGAGCCUUGGUUUGGUUUGGUUUUUGGCCUAAGAUACUCACAGUUUUUUAGAAUUAAACCUGUAAUCCAAAAAAAGAAGAAAGUAAAGACAAAAGAAACAUAGGAUAUAGAGGUCAUUGCCACCAAAAUCUAGCAAUCCAAGAUUUCUCUGAGGCAACCACAGCUUGACCUUGUAACAGUGACCACACAGCAACUCCCUUUUCACCAGGCUCAGGCUGCUCAAGUGACAUGCAAAAUCCAAAACGGUCCCUGGAAACAUGUAGAAAUGACUCAUAAGCUGAAAUAUUAAAUGAAAUUCCUCCAAAAGUUAAAUUCUCAUAACUCAAAUGAGAUAUAGCUCAGUGUUAUGACCAGAGUAUUCUAAAGGGAAGGGGAUAAUGUGCGAGAGAAAAGUCGAGUCUCGCUUUUGCAAUGUGUGAAAUGAGGGUAAAUGUGAAAGGCAUAAGAUGAAGAGAAGCAGGGCUCAGCGUGGUGCCUGAAAGGAGUUGGGUAGUGAUUUUUAUCAGCAAAGCUGCAGCUCUUUGCCAUUGACCCUACUAAUGGAAUGUUCAGUCCUGGGGAGGUUAUUCAUAUAGCAAAGCAUUUAGGACUUCCCCUAAAUAGUCCUUUCUGCCAAAAAGAUUUAAUUCCACUAUUAAAGGGGGAUGAGUAACACCUCUAGAGCUUCCUGGAUGGGAAGAGGCUGCAGUGAGCUUGUGCGAGGAGUCCAGAAGCAGCACAGGUGGGCACUGUCCACUCAGGCUUUCUGUGCUCAUGAGGCUGCCAAGAGGGCGAUACAAGGAGAAUCCAAACUCCUGUGAACGCACCUUGGUUUGGUCCCUUAAACAAUCUAUCCAUGGCCCUGACUCCCUGUCAGCCCGAGGCUUGCGGAAGUUGAGAGGAGGGCUUGAGGAUAGCAAAAAUCUCCUAACUAGAACCUAAUGCUUCUCUACAAAGAUAUGGAGUGGUCAGUGAGGACCUGGGCCACCCAGAGGCACCAUGUAGCGGCAUGUACGUCAUGCAUGUCCCCGUUCCCCUGUGGGCAAUGCUAGCACAUCACACUCCAGCACUAUCUCACAGACGUUACUCCAGUCUUCCACAAACACUUCUGUUUCCUAUCUUCCAGCCACACAUCAAAACACUUGAGCACUUCAGCCUCUGGAUUGUCCACAGUAGCUCUAGGAUGUCCUAGCUCACUGUUUUUCAAAUCAUCUAUGAAUUACAGUUGUAGUGGUGGCUAUUUAUUUCUAAUCCACAUAGCUCAAUUCUUUUGUAAAAUACAAUAAAUUUUUUAAAAUUACAAGCCCCCUUAUUGUACUAGAUUCGACAAAAUUAUCUGUCAAAUUGCUAUAAAAAGUAGCACUGUUCUGGCUCCCUAAGCUCUAGGGUCAGUCUGCCAAAUCAGCCUGGGAUAUUGCCCUCAGGAUGAAAUGAUGGACAUCCCUAAUGUCAGGUCAACAACACCCAUGAUAUUUCUUUAGAGUGCCCGUUGGGUCUGAGGAAUACCUGGGAGUGGGCCUAAGAACAGCAAUGGCUUUGUUUCCUAGUCUCUAACAGCUGAAAAUAAAAUAGUUGAGAAAGGGGACAUGUUGGAAGGGAAGGCAGAGGAAAAUCCAGAAGGUAAUGGGCCUGGUGGUGGGAGGUGAGAGCCUGAACCUGGAGUCUCUGGAAAUGGAUCAAGCAAUAGAGCACUGUUUCCAGAGCAACCCUGAGAUGUGUCUUCCCACUCCCCACGCUCAGUUUCUGGCCCAGAUGGAUUGAAAUGGUGGAUGGCUCCUCUGCGUGUGUGUCAGUCUACACAUUUAGGAUACAUACCUGAAGUAGGAAAUGUGGGGGACUUGGAAAUUGGGGAGCUUUGGCAAACUCAAGCGUGACAUUUCAAUUAUUAUUGAGAAGGAGCUCCACUGGAGUCAGUGGUCUUUCCCGGUAUCCUCUCAGGUAACAACUUGGCCCGGACACUCCAUCUAACCAGCUUUGCCCAUGGGGCUCUUGCACACAGAUACUG
This 3091-nucleotide long non-coding RNA is filed under the name Canis lupus familiaris (dog). Its description in RNAcentral is "lncRNA (ENSCAFG00845014675.1)". The record is from RNAcentral. Lineage: Eukaryota; Metazoa; Chordata; Mammalia; Carnivora; Canidae.